CCUACGGGUGACUGCAGUCGAGAAUCAUUCACAAUGGGGGAAACCCUGAUGGUGCGACGCCGCGUGGGGGAAUGAAGGUCUUCGGAUUGUAAACCCCUGUCAUGUGGGAGCAAAUUAAAAAGAUAGUACCACAAGAGGAAGAGACGGCUAACUCUGUGCCAGCAGCCGCGGUAAUACAGAGGUCUCAAGCGUUGUUCGGAAUCACUGGGCGUAAGGGGUGUGUAGGCUGUUUCGUAAGUCGUGUGUGAAAGGCGCGGGCUCAACCCGCGGACGGCACCUGAUACUGCGAGACUAGAGUAAUGGAGGGGGAACCGGAAUUCUCGGUGUAGCAGUGAAAUGCGUAGAUAUCGGGAGGAACACUCGUGGCGAAGGCGGGUUCCUGGACAUUAACUGACGCUGAGGCACGAAGGCCAGGUGAGCGAAAGGGAUUAGAUACCCUUGUAGUC
Molecule: ribosomal RNA, 446 nt
Filed under: uncultured bacterium
Lineage: Bacteria
Description: partial 16S ribosomal RNA
Rfam family: Bacterial small subunit ribosomal RNA
Source: RNAcentral